AUUGAACGCUGGCGGCAGGCCUAACACAUGCAAGUCGAGCGGGGACUUCGGUCCUAGCGGCGAACGGGUGAGUAAUGCUUGGGAAUCUGCCCAGUAGUGGGGGAUAACGUCCCGAAAGGGACGCUAAUACCGCAUACGUUCUACGGGAGAAAGAGGGGGAUCUUCGGACCUCUCGCUAUUGGAUGAGCCCAAGUCGGAUUAGCUAGUUGGUAGGGUAAUGGCCUACCAAGGCGACGAUCCGUAGCUGGUCUGAGAGGAUGAUCAGCCACACUGGAACUGAGACACGGUCCAGACUCCUACGGGAGGCAGCAGUGGGGAAUAUUGGACAAUGGGCGAAAGCCUGAUCCAGCCAUGCCGCGUGUGUGAAGAAGGCCUUCGGGUUGUAAAGCACUUUAAGCGGGGAGGAAGGUUCGCGGCCUAAUACGUCGCGGAAUUGACGUUACCCGCAGAAUAAGCACCGGCUAACUCUGUG
This 472-nucleotide ribosomal RNA is filed under the name uncultured bacterium. RNAcentral describes it as "partial 16S ribosomal RNA". It matches the Rfam family "Bacterial small subunit ribosomal RNA", at positions 30 to 507 of the family's 1533-position model. The record is from RNAcentral.